Molecule: non-coding RNA, 73 nt
Organism: Podarcis lilfordi (Lilford's wall lizard)
Lineage: Eukaryota; Metazoa; Chordata; Lepidosauria; Squamata; Lacertidae
Source: the annotation of a GenBank genome assembly
GCUCCAAUAGCUCAGUCGGUACAGCAUGAAACUCUUAACCUCAGAGUCAUGGGUUCAAGCCCCACGAUGGGCA